UCAGACUGAAAAUGAUCCCAGAUGUGACCGUGAUCUGCGGUCAGACAACUGAUCCUAGAGUAUUUUUGGUGCGUUUAAGCUUAUCGCCUGCUCGCUCAUUUGCACAGUGAUAAAACCCACGUGCCAACAGAA
Molecule: small nucleolar RNA, 132 nt
Organism: Scophthalmus maximus (turbot)
Lineage: Eukaryota; Metazoa; Chordata; Actinopteri; Pleuronectiformes; Scophthalmidae
Source: Ensembl